RNAcentral lists this unclassified non-coding RNA (239 nucleotides) under Hevea brasiliensis (rubber tree). Lineage: Eukaryota; Viridiplantae; Streptophyta; Magnoliopsida; Malpighiales; Euphorbiaceae. The record is from RNAcentral.
UGAGCACCAGGGCAAGUACAUGGCUUCUGUAGUAAAAAGGCUUGUUCAGUCUUGAGGAGUCACCAAUUUGAACCUUCCUUGUCUGUGUCUAUUACUUAAGACGAGUUUGUGCAUUAUUCUUUGCUACUCUCUGCUUAUCUCCCACUGGUCCUCAUUGGAUUAUUUGUAUAGGAGUCUCAACACUAGCGCCAGUAAAUUAUAAUAAGAAGGCUGUGAUAUGUUAUUCGUUUGUAUUCCUA